RNAcentral lists this transfer RNA (65 nucleotides) under Pollicipes pollicipes. RNAcentral describes it as "tRNA-Tyr". The record is from RNAcentral. Lineage: Eukaryota; Metazoa; Arthropoda; Thecostraca; Pollicipedomorpha; Pollicipedidae.
UAUUUUGUGCAAACUAUCAAGGGAUUCGAACUCUUAUAAAAUGUUUUCAAAACAUUCGCUUUCCG